RNAcentral lists this non-coding RNA (70 nucleotides) under Hanusia phi. The record is from RNAcentral. Lineage: Eukaryota; Cryptophyceae; Pyrenomonadales; Geminigeraceae.
CCACCUCCUCUCCUUUCCUCCACUUCUCCCGUCUGCUUCCUUAAUCCUGUCCGCUCACCCUGCUCGCGCU